AGGAGCUUGCUCCCUCUGACGUUAGCGGCGGACGGGUGAGUAACACGUGGAUAACCUACCUAUAAGACUGGGAUAACUUCGGGAAACCGGAGCUAAUACCGGAUAAUAUAUUGAACCGCAUGGUUCAAUAGUGAAAGACGGUUUUGCUGUCACUUAUAGAUGGAUCCGCGCCGCAUUAGCUAGUUGGUAAGGUAACGGCUUACCAAGGCAACGAUGCGUAGCCGACCUGAGAGGGUGAUCGGCCACACUGGAACUGAGACACGGUCCAGACUCCUACGGGAGGCAGCAGUAGGGAAUCUUCCGCAAUGGGCGAAAGCCUGACGGAGCAACGCCGCGUGAGUGAUGAAGGUCUUCGGAUCGUAAAACUCUGUUAUUAGGGAAGAACAAAUGUGUAAGUAACUAUGCACGUCUUGACGGUACCUAAUCAGAAAGCCACGGCUAACUACGUGCCAGCAGCCGCGGUAAUACGUAGGUGGCAAGCGUUAUCCGGAAUUAUUGGGCGUAAAGCGCGCGUAGGCGGUUUUUUAAGUCUGAUGUGAAAGCCCACGGCUCAACCGUGGAGGGUCAUUGGAAACUGGAAAACUUGAGUGCAGAAGAGGAAAGUGGAAUUCCAUGUGUAGCGGUGAAAUGCGCAGAGAUAUGGAGGAACACCAGUGGCGAAAGCGACUUUCUGGUCUGUAACUGACGCUCAUGUGCGAAAGCGU
Molecule: ribosomal RNA, 704 nt
Filed under: Staphylococcus epidermidis
Lineage: Bacteria; Bacillati; Bacillota; Bacilli; Caryophanales; Staphylococcaceae
Description: bacterial SSU rRNA
Rfam family: Bacterial small subunit ribosomal RNA
Source: RNAcentral